CGCAUCUGUGCAUGCAGCAUAUCAAUAAGCGGAGGAAAAGAAACUAACAAGGAUUCCCCUAGUAACGGCGAGUGAAGCGGGAAGAGCUCAAAUUUGAAAUCUUAAAGGGUUUCCCUUUACGAAUUGUAGUUUAAAGAAGUGUUUUCUGUUGAGGUUUUGGUAAAAGUUCUUUGGAAUAGGACAUCAUAGAGGGUGAGAAUCCCGUAUUUGACCUUUACUUUCAACUUUGUGAUACACUUUCAAAGAGUCGGAUUGUUUGGGAAUGCAGUCCAAAAUGGGUGGUAAAUUUCAUCUAAAGCUAAAUAUUGGCGAGAGACCGAUAGCGAACAAGUACCGUGAGGGAAAGAUGAAAAGAACUUCGAAAAGAGAGUUAAACAGUACGUGAAAUUGUCAAAAGGGAAGCGUUUGACACCAGUGUUGUUUUUCUGAAAAUCAAUUAAAGAACUGUUUAUGCUAAGUUGUUUAGACUUUAUCAGCUAUCUGUUUAGUUUUGAGCUUUUCUUUAAUGCACUUUUCAGUUAACAAGUCAACAUCAAUUUCUUUUGCUGUAAAAAAGCUUGAGGAAGGUGGCUUGAGAUUCGUCUUAAGUGUUUAUAGCCUCUUGCCUAUGCAGUCGGAGAGAUUGAGGUCUGCAGCGUAGAUCCUUCGGGGCUAAAUGCAUUUGUGCUAAGUUAUAGCAUUUUAUAGACAACUUGUUGACUAUGAUUUGUCUUGUAGCUUACUCGCUUAUGUUAUUUUACCUACGCUUAGGAUGUUGAAUCUGUGCGAGACUAC
RNAcentral lists this ribosomal RNA (774 nucleotides) under uncultured Neocallimastigales. RNAcentral's name for it is "partial large subunit ribosomal RNA". It matches the Rfam family "Eukaryotic large subunit ribosomal RNA", at positions 26 to 644 of the family's 3401-position model. The record is from RNAcentral. Lineage: Eukaryota; Fungi; Neocallimastigomycota; Neocallimastigomycetes; Neocallimastigales.